UACGUAGGUGGCAAGCGUUGUCCGGAUUUAUUGGGCGUAAAGGGAGCGCAGGCGGUGACUUAAGUCUGAUGUGAAAGCCCACGGCUCAACCGUGGAAGGUCAUUGGAAACUGGGUCACUUGAAUAUAGAAGAGGAAAGUGGAAUUCCAUGUGUAGCGGUGAAAUGCGUAGAUAUAUGGAGGAACACCAGUGGCGAAGGCGACUUUCUGGUCUAUUAUUGGCGCUGAGGCUCGAAAGCAUGGGUAGCAAACAGGAUUAGAUA
RNAcentral lists this ribosomal RNA (261 nucleotides) under uncultured prokaryote. RNAcentral's name for it is "partial 16S ribosomal RNA". It matches the Rfam family "Bacterial small subunit ribosomal RNA", at positions 524 to 784 of the family's 1533-position model. The record is from RNAcentral.